GAAAGGUUAGUUAAAAUAAUAUUAGUAUGUCACGCUAAAGUUAGGAGUUCAACCUCCUACCUUUUA
Molecule: transfer RNA, 66 nt
Filed under: Ephemerella sp. Yunnan-2018
Lineage: Eukaryota; Metazoa; Arthropoda; Insecta; Ephemeroptera; Ephemerellidae
Description: tRNA-Asp
Rfam family: tRNA
About the family: Transfer RNA (tRNA) molecules are approximately 80 nucleotides in length.
Source: RNAcentral